This is a long non-coding RNA of Mustela erminea (ermine), 761 nucleotides long. RefSeq lists it as uncharacterized. The transcript has 2 exons. The record is from RefSeq and is a predicted model, not a curated record. Lineage: Eukaryota; Metazoa; Chordata; Mammalia; Carnivora; Mustelidae.
GCCCUGGGCCAGGGUCCGCGGCCGGGUUUGCGCCCUCCUUUCCCGCCCUGGGCCUGGCCGAGCCGCCUCUCCCUCUCGAUCCCGGGCGGAGGGUGAAGAGCCGGAAGUCGGCUUUCUGCGACUGAUCCGGGGACGGGGAAGGAAAGGGGCCGGUAGGCUGGCGAGGCGGAAGGAGACAGUUUCUGGUCGCAGUGCACCUUUUAAAGGUCCCCAUUUGUUUUGCUUUUGCUGUUUUGAAAAGUCCGCCCAAAGCAGCCCGCUCUCCGAUUGGAUACUGGUCGAGCGAUUAGAACGCGGAGCAGCUGAUGCAACCUCGAAUGCGGACUGGCUGGCCGAUUCGUCUUCGAGCCCUCUGAUUGGCUUUCGUCUUAUCCGGAGCUUCUAUCUUCCAAGGGGCCUUAGCAACUCUGGGGCCCGGAUUGCGCAUGCGUGAAGCUCCGCUGGCGGAGAGAGCUGACCCUGGGGUCCAGGUCUUGGCGGCCGCCGCCGCGGGUCCCUGCGGUGUCCCCCUCCUGCCCCCAGAGAGCUGUGGGAGGGGGACAGCCUUUAUUCCGUGCUGCCGGAAGCCUGUUCAAAGAUGAGAAUAAGAAUAAAACAAGAAAGCUUGCUAGGUGGUGUUCAGUUUCCUGGUCUUGGCAGACUCUUUUCAGUACAGGAGAAAAGAAGGAUCCAGUGGUCCCAAACAGAGCCCCUUGUCCACUCAGUCCACUUACCUCUCUAAGAUAAAGGAGAUGGCGAUCAUUAAAAAAUAUUGGUCAACU